RNAcentral lists this ribosomal RNA (301 nucleotides) under uncultured bacterium. RNAcentral describes it as "partial 16S ribosomal RNA". It matches the Rfam family "Bacterial small subunit ribosomal RNA", at positions 509 to 808 of the family's 1533-position model. The record is from RNAcentral.
CAGCCGCCGCGGUAAUACGGAGGGGGCUAGCGUUGUUCGGAAUUACUGGGCGUAAAGCGCACGUAGGCGGCUUGGUAAGUUAGAGGUGAAAGCCCAGGGCUCAACCCCGGAAUUGCCUUUAAGACUGCAGAGCUAGCAGGUGAGAGAGGUGAGUGGAAUUCCGAGUGUAGAGGUGAAAUUCGUAGAUAUUCAGAAGAACACCAGUGGCGAAGGCGGCUCACUGGACGACUGUUGACGCUGAGGUACGAAAGCGUGGGGAGCAAACAGGAUUAGAUACCCGCGUAGUCCUGUCUCUUAUACC